Molecule: ribosomal RNA, 472 nt
Filed under: uncultured bacterium
Lineage: Bacteria
Description: partial 16S ribosomal RNA
Rfam family: Bacterial small subunit ribosomal RNA
Source: RNAcentral
GACGAACGCUGGCGGCGUGCUUAACACAUGCAAGUCGAGCGCUGAAGCUUGGUGCUUGCACUGGGUGGAUGAGUGGCGAACGGGUGAGUAAUACGUGAGUAACCUGCCCUUGACUCUGGGAUAAGCCUGGGAAACUGGGUCUAAUACUGGAUACGACAUGUCACCGCAUGGUGGUGUGUGGAAAGGGUUUUACUGGUUUUGGAUGGGCUCACGGCCUAUCAGCUUGUUGGUGGGGUAAUGGCUCACCAAGGCGACGACGGGUAGCCGGCCUGAGAGGGUGACCGGCCACACUGGGACUGAGACACGGCCCAGACUCCUACGGGAGGCAGCAGUGGGGAAUAUUGCACAAUGGGCGGAAGCCUGAUACAGCGACGCCGCGUGAGGGAUGACGGCCUUCGGGUUGUAAACCUCUUUCAGCACGGAAGAAGCGAAAGUGACGGUACGUGCAGAAGAAGCGCCGGCUAACUACGUG